GUGUGUGUGUGUGUGUGUGUGUGUGUGUGUGUGUGCGUGCACAUGUGUGCGCCCGUGCACGCGGGCACACG
Molecule: microRNA precursor, 71 nt
Filed under: Sorex araneus (European shrew)
Lineage: Eukaryota; Metazoa; Chordata; Mammalia; Eulipotyphla; Soricidae
Description: miRNA (ENSSARG00000016885.1)
Source: RNAcentral